ACCCUCCAAUGUGGCUCGUGCUAGUAACACAGCAGCCUCAGUUUGGUCUACAGAAGUUGUGAGGAAUGUAUGGCCACAGAGAUAUACUCUCCCAAAAUUUCCUCCGCCACUGUUACAGGGGCUGGGUGAAAAGAGUGGACAGCUCCUUCAACCGCAGCGAAAUGAAGCAGGAACAAAGUUGGUCGCUGCGUUGGCAGACGACAUUCUGAGCAAAACUCCUCGGUCUUAGCUAGAUGAUGUCAUGCGUGCCUUCCAAGCGACAUACCCCUUCCUGGCUGACUCCACUGGACUCUGCCUACAGCAGGAGCUGGAUCUCAUGAAGGGUACCAGCAGCAGUUCGAGUGUACAAGCAAAAAUAGAACAAACAACGGAUGGCCUACUUCAGCGGAUAAUGAAGUUUCACCCUUCUUCUGAUUCAAUUCGGCAACUGAAGGGGUUUGAAUAAACCUGUCCAUGGAGUGCCAAGCUGCAAGGUGCAACUCUUUUCUUAAGGUUAAAACUCACCGAUUUCAAAAAUGCCUGAAAGUGAUUCAUGAGGUUUUCGUGUAUAUUUUUUUCUAUGUAUUGUUUGCUGCCGUAUAUAUUCCACUGACUUGAUAAUACAUUUUUUAGUUACAAGUUAGCGCUGUUCGAUGUUCUUUCUCCAGUUUUUUUCCUUGUGUGCACUAUUCCCACCGUUUAAGCUGUGAUAAUUUCUCAAAUAACUAUUUACCGAGCCAGGGUUAUAAAGCAGGAAUUACCCUCAAAAAUGUACCUGACAAAGAAGCCCUCGGCAAACUUCUCAUUUUUUCUUCCUCCAGGGCCUAACGGUGGCCAUCUCGAAAUAUUAGGUUUGGUGUUCAUUUGCUUAUAGAUAUAUGAGAAGUACUAAAAAGUGGCUAAUUGGCAACAAAUUAUAGUUUUCAAGGACUAAAAGCGAAAUUUUGCUUUGAAAGGAGGUUCUAGAUUUUUAGAAUGUUCCUACCCCAGUGCCCAAGAAUUUCGGUAGUAUGAAUAGUUUUGUUUCGGUCACAUUUUGCACACAGUCAUUGCAGACUGUGUGAAAGUUCUCGGAGUUAUAUUUUGCACACUCAUUGCACGCUCUUUGGAAGCCCUCGGAGUUCUAGGAAAAGUUAAUUCAAAAGUUUUUCAAUAUGUGUAAUGAAUCUGUGAAGUAUGACGUUCCACUAGGCCGUGUUUUAUUUGAUCUAUAUUUUAGGCGGAGAAGCAUUCUACUCAUGUGCUAGGUUUCGAUCUAGUCAUGUUCAAUAAACGUCAGAAUUUUUGUUUU
Long non-coding RNA from Ixodes scapularis (black-legged tick), 1270 nucleotides. RefSeq lists it as uncharacterized. Lineage: Eukaryota; Metazoa; Arthropoda; Arachnida; Ixodida; Ixodidae. The transcript has 3 exons. The record is from RefSeq and is a predicted model, not a curated record.